RNAcentral lists this ribosomal RNA (492 nucleotides) under uncultured bacterium. RNAcentral describes it as "partial 16S ribosomal RNA". It matches the Rfam family "Bacterial small subunit ribosomal RNA", at positions 29 to 507 of the family's 1533-position model. The record is from RNAcentral.
AGUGAACGCUGGCGGUAGGCCUAACACAUGCAAGUCGAACGGCAGCACAGUAAGAGCUUGCUCUUACGGGUGGCGAGUGGCGGACGGGUGAGGGAUACAUCGGAAUCUACUUUUUCGUGGGGGAUAACGUAGGGAAACUUACGCUAAUACCGCAUACGACCUACGGGUGAAAGCAGGGGAUCUUCGGACCUUGCGCGAUUGAAUGAGCCGAUGUCGGAUUAGCUAGUUGGCGGGGUAAAGGCCCACCAAGGCGACGAUCCGUAGCUGGUCUGAGAGGAUGAUCAGCCACACUGGAACUGAGACACGGUCCAGACUCCUACGGGAGGCAGCAGUGGGGAAUAUUGGACAAUGGGCGCAAUCCUGAUCCAGCCAUACCGCGUGGGUGAAGAAGGCCUUCGGGUUGUAAAGCCCUUUUGUUGGGAAAGAAAAGCAGCAGGUUAAUACCCCGCUGUUCUGACGGUACCCAAAGAAUAAGCACCGGCUAACUUCGUG